UGUAUGCAGCAAUUUUAACUGGAAAAGUUAACAAGAAAGAUAAAUAAAAUUAUUGUUUCACUCUUGCAUACAUUAUCUUUCAUCAGUUAUAUUAAGGAUCACGUCUUUUUUAUUCAUUUAAAAUUUGGCAGUGACGUGAACCUGAGCUAAGAUGCAAAAAUAUUUUAUUUGUCUAUUUAUAAUCCUGCUGGUUGCAUGUGUCCAGGCACAAGAUGUGAUCAAGAACCAGCAGCUUAAGAGUCAGCAGCAUAUCGGUGAUCAGAAGGAUGAAAUUCUUGAAACUGCAAAUAGUGUCGUAUUUAGGCCAAUCUUCACUUAUAGAAAAACUGUAAAUCAAAGACGACGGGUAUAUCCAACACGCAGACCAACAAGAACAUUCAAUUUUUAAAAUUAUACUAAAUUAAAUGUAUUUAUUAUGUCAGAAUGUUUUUGUAAUAUUAUAUAUUAUGUUUCUAAAUCCUAUAUUUGUUUUAUACAUUUAUAAUAUAUAAUAUUACAUACUACAUUUAUAUAACAUUUAUUUAUUUAUUUUAUAUAUUAGUAUUUUAUAAUAAAUUAUAAUUUAAAAUA
Long non-coding RNA from Aethina tumida (small hive beetle), 570 nucleotides. RefSeq lists it as uncharacterized. NCBI's taxonomy places the organism in Eukaryota, Metazoa, Arthropoda, Insecta, Coleoptera, Nitidulidae. The record is from RefSeq and is a predicted model, not a curated record. The transcript has 2 exons.